This is a long non-coding RNA of Oenanthe melanoleuca, 1163 nucleotides long. RefSeq lists it as uncharacterized. The transcript has 5 exons. NCBI's taxonomy places the organism in Eukaryota, Metazoa, Chordata, Aves, Passeriformes, Muscicapidae. The record is from RefSeq and is a predicted model, not a curated record.
CGUGCGGGCGCUAACGUGACAGCGCUUCCGGUUCGGGUGCCGGCGGUGCCGCCGCUCCCUCGGCGGGCGGAGUGUGGGGCUCGGGCACCCGGCGGCAUCGGGGCGGGCGCUGGGGCCGCGCGGCGCUGCCGCUGCUGCUCCGGGCUGCUGCCGGGGCUCCCGUGCCGCCGGCCGUGCGCGGGAGGGCGGUGCGGGGAUUUCCCCGCGCUGAGGGGAACCGGCCCCGGCGCCUCCCGAACCCGCCGCUCCGGCGCUGCCAGGGAGUUUGUGAUCAAUUAAAAAGAUGCCUUGUAUUCUCGGAGUGGUGCAUUCUACCUCUGCUGUUUUUCCUGCUAGUCUGGAUCCUCUGCUUAGAUUUUUUUCUUCAUAUUUUAGGUGCCCUGGCUGUGGUGGAUGUCCCGGUCGAGGGCAGUGAUGGCUUUCAUGAAGAAAUCUUUAAAUGAAGACGGGAUUACCCAAACCUUUCCCUUCCCUGCUGCACUAGAAGCCAGGAAUAUCCUGUUGCUUCAGUCUGAAAACGGAACAGGACACCUUGAUAAGCGUGAUUCCUAGAGCUGAAGGGAGACACCACAGCCAGACAAGGUGUGCAACCACCUGACUUAUUUCUUCAACCACCUGAUUUAUUUCUAGUACAAUUAGAACAAACAGCCCUUUCCUUUUUAAUAAAGAUAAAGCACCUAGUUUAAAAAUCACGAGGAGGUGAGCAAAGAACCUGCUGUGCCCCUGGAUUCUGCAUUUACCACUUUGCUAAAGAGAGCCUAUGAGAGAGGAAGCAAUACCCUACUGGAAGGUGGUGUUCAGACAAAAUUGGCUUCCUGGCUCCCACCUGACCAGCUUUUGUUGGGAGUAAAGCAUGUGCUGUUAUACCUGAAAUCCACAGUGGAGAACUUCAGCAGGCUUGGUAAAACUUUGGGUCCUCAGCUUGUUGAUCUCUGUGUGGACCUGCUGAGCAUCUUGUUGUGCCGGGACAAUGAAAUAAAGCUGGAGCAGCAGCAGAAGCAGGAGGAGCAUCAGGCUGAUGGGAUCUCUUCAUGGAUGAGGAGCCUCUGAUGACAGAAGUGUCUUCAAAUGACAAGACCCUGGAGGAUGCACUCACCUUGAUUUUCAGACAUCCUGCACUGGAGAGCUGGUUCCUGGCGUUGGAGCUGCGCUCUAUUCCUCAG